CACGGCAUAGGGUGGAAGACGCGGCUGACCGCUUGGCCCCAUCAGUCGGUGAGAGAAAAGGGUUGGGCCCAGUCGUCAUACACAGAGAAAGAAGGGGAAAGGUAGAGGAUGCGGGGCUGGGCCAAGCUGCUGCGAGUUGGUCCAGGAGAGGGGAAGUGGGCCGAGGGGAGAGGGUUUGGGGCCUGCGGCCGAAAUAGAGAGAGGAGAGCUGGGACUUCAGGCCAAAAGCAGUGGGGAAGUUUUCCCUUUUCUUUUCUUUUGUUUUCUUUUUGGUUUCUUUUUUUAAAAGCCUAUUUCAAAACAAAUUUUGAAAACCAUCUUAAAAUCAGUUUGAAUCAUUUUGUAUUUUGGGAUCAAAUCACUCAGUACAACAAAAUAAAUUCUCUAGCAUGAGUGCACAUCCAUGUUGCUAAAUUCUAUGAUAGAUUUUAUUUAAAUGAAAAAUAUUAUUUUUCUAUGUUUCAUGAGCACAAAAAUUUCCAACUUAAAUCAAUUUAGUUUCUUUACAAAAGGACAAAUUUUAGGGUGUUACAAAUCUACCCCCUUAAAAUGAAUCUCGUACUCGAGAUUCGAAAGAGACACGGAUCCUCUCAGAAAGAACAGGAAGAAGAUCUUGAUAACUCUUUCAACUUUACAACUUGCAUG
This 645-nucleotide long non-coding RNA is filed under the name Sorghum bicolor (sorghum). RNAcentral describes it as "long non-coding RNA (SBIC_LNC004931)". The record is from RNAcentral. Lineage: Eukaryota; Viridiplantae; Streptophyta; Magnoliopsida; Poales; Poaceae.